This 253-nucleotide ribosomal RNA is filed under the name uncultured bacterium. RNAcentral describes it as "partial 16S ribosomal RNA". It matches the Rfam family "Bacterial small subunit ribosomal RNA", at positions 524 to 776 of the family's 1533-position model. The record is from RNAcentral.
UACGUAGGGUGCAAGCGUUGUCCGGAAUCAUUGGGCGUAAAGCGCGCGUAGGCGGCCCGAUAAGUCCGCUGUAAAAGUCAACGGCUCAACUGUUGAAAGCCGGUGGAUACUGUCGGGCUAGAGUACGGAAGAGGCAAGUGGAAUUCCUGGUGUAGCGGUGGAAUGCGCAGAUAUCAGGAGGAACACCGAUAGCGAAGGCAGCUUGCUGGGACGUUACUGACGCUAAGGCGCGAAAGCGUGGGGAGCGAACAGG